GAUGAACGCUGGCGGCGUGCCUAAUACAUGCAAGUCGAGCGAACGGACGAGAAGCUUGCUUCUCUGAUGUUAGCGGCGGACGGGUGAGUAACACGUGGAUAACCUACCUAUAAGACUGGGAUAACUUCGGGAAACCGGAGCUAAUACCGGAUGAUAUUUUGAACCGCAUGGUUCAAAAGUGAAAGACGGUCUUGCUGUCACUUAUAGAUGGAUCCGCGCUGCAUUAGCUAGUUGGUAAGGUAACGGCUUACCAAGGCAACGAUGCAUAGCCGACCUGAGAGGGUGAUCGGCCACAAUGGAACUGAGACACGGUCCAGACUCCUACGGGAGGCAGCAGUAGGGAAUCUUCCGCAAUGGGCGAAAGCCUGACGGAGCAACGCCGCGUGAGUGAUGAAGGUCUUCGGAUCGUAAAACUCUGUUAUUAGGGAAGAACAUAUGUGUAAGUAACUGGGAACAUCUUGACGGUACCUAAUCAGAAAGCCACGGCUAACUACGU
RNAcentral lists this ribosomal RNA (496 nucleotides) under uncultured bacterium. RNAcentral's name for it is "partial 16S ribosomal RNA". It matches the Rfam family "Bacterial small subunit ribosomal RNA", at positions 28 to 506 of the family's 1533-position model. The record is from RNAcentral.